UUAUUAAAUAUGUUUUAGGAACAAACAUACUUGCACUAAAAUUUUUGAAUCAGCACAUAUUUCAAAAUUUACAAAUAGUUAUGAAAACAGAAAGUGUUUUUUGUAUAGACUGUCCAUAGGGGCUGUAAGUCUCGUUUCUCGUCACUUCCGGUGACAAACAAAUCCGAUUCAGUAUAUACGAGUAUAGAAUUGGGCCAACUACACGUCCGAAAAACCAAUGCUUAUGCGUAAAUCAGAGAACGCUGUGUACCACAACCAUUUGUUAUGUUCCUGUUUAACAAGUUGACGUAUAUUGUCAAUGCAGUGGUUCAAGUGUCGAUGGAGAACAACCAGAAUUCAGGAAGAGUAUUUUCUCCCUCAAGUCCAGCCAUCCUUACUAUCACCUGAUACAGGACUAGCUUUUUGGACUACAGCCGACUGCAUGCAAAUUCUCCGGAUCAUGAAGGACUCUUAGUGGACAAAGAACAUUGCAAAGUGAUAGAAUUUUAUUGCUGCAACUUGAUUAUUUGGAGAACAGCUGACUGCAGAAUUAUCUGGGAUCAUAAAGGACUCUGAAUGGACACAUACCAUUAACAGAAUUAUACUUUCAAUAUUUUCAUUCCUGGAUGGAUUUAAAAUCAACAUGUAUGAUAAAAUAUACUUAAUAAAACAAUAACAAUCA
This is a long non-coding RNA of Ostrea edulis (European flat oyster), 661 nucleotides long. RefSeq lists it as uncharacterized. The transcript has 2 exons. NCBI's taxonomy places the organism in Eukaryota, Metazoa, Mollusca, Bivalvia, Ostreida, Ostreidae. The record is from RefSeq and is a predicted model, not a curated record.